GGGUUGUGAGGUUAAGCGACUAAGCGUACACGGUGGAUGCCCUGGCAGUCAGAGGCGAUGAAGGACGUGCUAAUCUGCGAUAAGCGUCGGUAAGGUGAUAUGAACCGUUAUAACCGGCGAUUUCCGAAUGGGGAAACCCAGUGUGAUUCGUCACACUAUCAUUAACUGAAUCCAUAGGUUAAUGAGGCGAACCGGGGGAACUGAAACAUCUAAGUACCCCGAGGAAAAGAAAUCAACCGAGAUUCCCCCAGUAGCGGCGAGCGAACGGGGAGCAGCCCAGAGCCUGAAUCAGUGUGUGUGUUAGUGGAAGCGUCUGGAAAGGCGCGCGAUACAGGGUGACAGCCCCGUACACAAAAAUGCACAUACUGUGAGCUCGAUGAGUAGGGCGGGACACGUGGUAUCCUGUCUGAAUAUGGGGGGACCAUCCUCCAAGGCUAAAUACUCCUGACUGACCGAUAGUGAACCAGUACCGUGAGGGAAAGGCGAAAAGAACCCCGGCGAGGGGAGUGAAAAAGAACCUGAAACCGUGUACGUACAAGCAGUGGGAGCACGCUUAGGCGUGUGACUGCGUACCUUUUGUAUAAUGGGUCAGCGACUUAUAUUCUGUAGCAAGGUUAACCGAAUAGGGGAGCCGAAGGGAAACCGAGUCUUAACUGGGCGUUAAGUUGCAGGGUAUAGACCCGAAACCCGGUGAUCUAGCCAUGGGCAGGUUGAAGGUUGGGUAACACUAACUGGAGGACCGAACCGACUAAUGUUGAAAAAUUAGCGGAUGACUUGUGGCUGGGGGUGAAAGGCCAAUCAAACCGGGAGAUAGCUGGUUCUCCCCGAAAGCUAUUUAGGUAGCGCCUCGUGAAUUCAUCUCCGGGGGUAGAGCACUGUUUCGGCAAGGGGGUCAUCCCGACUUACCAACCCGAUGCAAACUGCGAAUACCGGAGAAUGUUAUCACGGGAGACACACGGCGGGUGCUAACGUCCGUCGUGAAGAGGGAAACAACCCAGACCGCCAGCUAAGGUCCCAAAGUCAUGGUUAAGUGGGAAACGAUGUGGGAAGGCCCAGACAGCCAGGAUGUUGGCUUAGAAGCAGCCAUCAUUUAAAGAAAGCGUAAUAGCUCACUGGUCGAGUCGGCCUGCGCGGAAGAUGUAACGGGGCUAAACCAUGCACCGAAGCUGCGGCAGCGACGCUUAUGCGUUGUUGGGUAGGGGAGCGUUCUGUAAGCCUGCGAAGGUGUGCUGUGAGGCAUGCUGGAGGUAUCAGAAGUGCGAAUGCUGACAUAAGUAACGAUAAAGCGGGUGAAAAGCCCGCUCGCCGGAAGACCAAGGGUUCCUGUCCAACGUUAAUCGGGGCAGGGUGAGUCGACCCCUAAGGCGAGGCCGAAAGGCGUAGUCGAUGGGAAACAGGUUAAUAUUCCUGUACUUGGUGUUACUGCGAAGGGGGGACGGAGAAGGCUAUGUUGGCCGGGCGACGGUUGUCCCGGUUUAAGCGUGUAGGCUGGUUUUCCAGGCAAAUCCGGAAAACUAAGGCUGAGGCGUGAUGACGAGGCACUACGGUGCUGAAGCAACAAAUGCCCUGCUUCCAGGAAAAGCCUCUAAGCAUCAGGUAACAUCAAAUCGUACCCCAAACCGACACAGGUGGUCAGGUAGAGAAUACCAAGGCGCUUGAGAGAACUCGGGUGAAGGAACUAGGCAAAAUGGUGCCGUAACUUCGGGAGAAGGCACGCUGAUAUGUAGGUGAAGUCCCUCGCGGAUGGAGCUGAAAUCAGUCGAAGAUACCAGCUGGCUGCAACUGUUUAUUAAAAACACAGCACUGUGCAAACACGAAAGUGGACGUAUACGGUGUGACGCCUGCCCGGUGCCGGAAGGUUAAUUGAUGGGGUCAGCGCAAGCGAAGCUCUUGAUCGAAGCCCCGGUAAACGGCGGCCGUAACUAUAACGGUCCUAAGGUAGCGAAAUUCCUUGUCGGGUAAGUUCCGACCUGCACGAAUGGCGUAAUGAUGGCCAGGCUGUCUCCACCCGAGACUCAGUGAAAUUGAACUCGCUGUGAAGAUGCAGUGUACCCGCGGCAAGACGGAAAGACCCCGUGAACCUUUACUAUAGCUUGACACUGAACAUUGAGCCUUGAUGUGUAGGAUAGGUGGGAGGCUUUGAAGUGUGGACGCCAGUCUGCAUGGAGCCGACCUUGAAAUACCACCCUUUAAUGUUUGAUGUUCUAACGUUGACCCGUAAUCCGGGUUGCGGACAGUGUCUGGUGGGUAGUUUGACUGGGGCGGUCUCCUCCUAAAGAGUAACGGAGGAGCACGAAGGUUGGCUAAUCCUGGUCGGACAUCAGGAGGUUAGUGCAAUGGCAUAAGCCAGCUUGACUGCGAGCGUGACGGCGCGAGCAGGUGCGAAAGCAGGUCAUAGUGAUCCGGUGGUUCUGAAUGGAAGGGCCAUCGCUCAACGGAUAAAAGGUACUCCGGGGAUAACAGGCUGAUACCGCCCAAGAGUUCAUAUCGACGGCGGUGUUUGGCACCUCGAUGUCGGCUCAUCACAUCCUGGGGCUGAAGUAGGUCCCAAGGGUAUGGCUGUUCGCCAUUUAAAGUGGUACGCGAGCUGGGUUUAGAACGUCGUGAGACAGUUCGGUCCCUAUCUGCCGUGGGCGCUGGAGAACUGAGGGGGGCUGCUCCUAGUACGAGAGGACCGGAGUGGACGCAUCACUGGUGUUCGGGUUGUCAUGCCAAUGGCACUGCCCGGUAGCUAAAUGCGGAAGAGAUAAGUGCUGAAAGCAUCUAAGCACGAAACUUGCCCCGAGAUGAGUUCUCCCUGACUCCUUGAGAGUCCUGAAGGAACGUUGAAGACGACGACGUUGAUAGGCCGGGUGUGUAAGCGCAGCGAUGCGUUGAGCUAACCGGUACUAAUGAACCGUGAGGCUUAACCUUACAACGCCGAAGGUGUUU
This 2931-nucleotide ribosomal RNA is filed under the name Escherichia coli. RNAcentral's name for it is "23S ribosomal RNA". It matches the Rfam family "Bacterial large subunit ribosomal RNA". The record is from RNAcentral. Lineage: Bacteria; Pseudomonadati; Pseudomonadota; Gammaproteobacteria; Enterobacterales; Enterobacteriaceae.